UACGGAGGGUGCAAGCGUUAUCCGGAUUCACUGGGUUUAAAGGGUGCGUAGGUGGGCAGGUAAGUCAGUGGUGAAAUCCCCAAGCUUAACUUGGGAACUGCCAUUGAUACUAUUUGUCUUGAAUACCGUGGAGGUGAGCGGAAUAUGUCAUGUAGCGGUGAAAUGCUUAGAUAUGACAUAGAACACCAAUUGCGAAGGCAGCUUGCUACGCGGAUACUGACGCUGAGGCGCGAAAAGCUAGGGGAGCGAACGGGG
Molecule: ribosomal RNA, 255 nt
Filed under: uncultured bacterium
Lineage: Bacteria
Description: partial 16S ribosomal RNA
Rfam family: Bacterial small subunit ribosomal RNA
Source: RNAcentral